RNAcentral lists this long non-coding RNA (1667 nucleotides) under Marmota monax (woodchuck). The record is from RNAcentral. Lineage: Eukaryota; Metazoa; Chordata; Mammalia; Rodentia; Sciuridae.
CAGGACCUGCUGGGAGCUCCUGUGGGCCUCAUGUCCUGUUGACGCCCGUGUUCUAAUGUAAGCCCUGUCACGGGGCACACUCCAGGUGGGAAGCGCUGAGACUCGGCUGGUGGAAGCAUCGGACGCAUCUCAUCUCCGGGAACCUCCGAGUGCCACUGGCCAGUCUCCCUCCAGCAUCUGCUUCCCGGAGCCAUUAAAGGCUCAUACAUCUUUCAAGCCCAGCAUUACUCAAGGACAAAGGUGACAGCUCGAUUUCUGAAAUCCAGCUGAGGCCAAAGCAGAUCCAAGGUCAGAAAGGCCCACAACCAAAGUUGUCACUAGCUGCUGGGUGGAGUGGCCCCUGCCAGGCCCAGGGGCAAUGGACCAAGCCCUCAGCUCUGGGUGGGUGGAGGAGUCCUGCACCCUCUCCGUUCCUCCCAGUGUAGCUCAAGGUCCCAGAGCUGGGACACAUGCUCCUGUACGCGCUGUGUCUGUCCCAAUCUGUGUGGACCCCGCUGGAGAGUGGAGCUCAUGUUUUCCAUCUUAUACCAAAACACGUUUGCAUAGGGACACAGGUGCACACCUACACGUGUAUACGGGACACAUCCACCCACAAGGAGCCUGCACCUUGGCCCCGAGCACACACAUGAAUAUAUGCACACACAUGAAAAGUCUGCAUGGGCCAACACGUAUGAGUGUGCAUCUACAGGUGAGCACAAGUGUGCACACCCUCCCCAAGAGACCCACCUACCCCAAAGUUGAUCAAGGUCACAGACUGUGCUGGAGGUCAGCAGCCCGGGGAGCUGAGGAGAGCGCUGCAGACAGGUGGGGCUGUGCCUCCUGAAGCCACCCAGCACCCGUCCCCGCCACCCCCUCCCCGCCUUCUCUGCCUCCUCCUGCCUGGGACAAAGCAGGCCCUGCACUGGGCUGCCUGGACCCUCACAGUGCUUGUUCUCUUUGGGAGGCUUUACGGCCCCAAGAUGGCCUCAAGGUGUGCUGUGAGAAUUCUGAUGCCACUUGCUCCAUCACUGACUUUGUAAAACCUCUUCCUAGAGUGAGAACCGGUGCCUCUCAAAUGCCGUCUUGAGGCCCAUAUUCCCAAGAUCCAAAAUCAGAGAUGGUCACAAUUCCCGAAAAUUAGAAUCCUGAAUGUCGAGACCCUGAAAGCCGAAAUCCCAAAACCCACCAUCCAAAGACAGAGGCACCGCGUGGGAAGUGAGCGCGGACACUUCUCUGAGGAGAGCUCUGCCCCAAGAGAAGAAAGGCAGCCCUUCACUGCCCCUCAGGAGCUCAAACCAGCCGAGGACGAGGACGGAGAGACCCGGUAGCCAGGGCCACCUCCGCGCAGGCCCCAGUGCCCCCCGAAGUGCACUUUGUCGGCGUUAUAUGUUUUUAUGAUUCUCUAUGCUACGAAUUUCGUUUUUGCACCAAGCCCAAUACUAGAGGUAGAGGUCGCACAAAGACUCCAGGGGUUCUGACCCACUCGAUGCCUUCUUUGACUCCUCAGAAGUGUAUCAGCACAACCCUUGCUUUGUGCAUAAGCAUUGUGUGUGUGUGUGUGUGUGUGUAAAAAUGUGGAAGCUUGGGCUGGGAAUGUGGCUCAAGUGGUAGCAUGCUUGCCUAGCAUGUGUGAGGCACUGGGUUCGAUUCUCAGUAUCACAUAAAAAUAAAAUAAAAAUAUUGUGUCC